GCAGUUACUGUAGCAAGCGGCUAACCGAAUCCUGACAAACGGUAGACCGGAUUCGGGCAGAAUAUUUCUGGAACUUAAACAGUUAGCCAGAUUUCACAAGCGGCAUACCGGAUGUUCAGAAAUUUAAAAUUGUGGCUGUAACGGUAACAUUAAGCGGCUAACCGGAUGUCCAUAAACGGUAAGCUGGUUAUGACCAAAAUGAGCAUAACGGCUAGUUUUUGAGCUCAAACUAUAUAAACUCAAAUCCAAUUCAUUUUCAAGCUCUCCAACUAGCAAAAACAAAAAACACACAAGAUAUCUUGAGCUCUCAAUUCGCAAAUCACAAAAACAUUAAAUCAUCUCUUGUUCUUCAUUUUUGAAUAGCUACUCUUUGAGUGAGUUUUAUUGUAACUUUCAUUUCUUCAUCUCAAUUGUAAGAGUUUGAGUGUGUGAGACACUUGAGUGAAGAGAUUGGGAGAUAAUCUCUUUAUUGUAAAGGUUCAUUGACACCUUGAAGUCAAUUGUAAACGGUUAAAGCCUUGAAAAGGCUUGGAUAGUGAAAUCCUCAAGCUUGGAUCGCUUGGAGGCGUGGACGUAGGCGGGCAUUGCCGAACCACGUAAAAAUUCGUGUGUUUGUUUCUCUUCUCCCUUACUCAUUUGUUAUUGUGCUUUUAUUGAACUUAUCGCUUUCAAUUUUUAUUAAAACAUUAGAUUGCUUGUUGUGUGGAUAUGCUAGGAUCAUUUUUAAAAUUCCAAUUCACCCCCCCUUUUGGGUUGCACACUUAUAUUUCAUUUGGUAUCAGAGCGAGGUGCUCUUAUUUAGACUUAAUCGUCUAGAGCUAAAGAUUAAUGGCAACUCAAAAUGAUUCCACAUUUAGGGAAGGACAGUCCACCACUAAACCACCUUACUUUGAUGGAAACGAUCACCCGUAUUGAAAAACUAGGAUGAAAAUUUACUUGCAAGCCUUAGAUUAUGAAAUUUGGGAAAUCGUUAAUGAUGGUCCUUUCAUGCCUUUAACUAAAAAUGAAGUCGGGGAAGAUAUUCCAAAACCUUCACGGGAAUGGAAUGAAUUCGAAAAGAGAAAAGCUUCUCUAAAUUCCAAGGUUAUGAAUGCCUUGUUUUGUGCACUAGAUAAGAAAGAGUUUCAUAGAGUGUCUAGUUGCGAAAGUGCUAAUGAAAUUUGGCACAAACUUGAAGUUGUUUAUGAAGGCACGAACCAAGUGAAAGAAUCUAAAAUAAGUAGGUAUACUCGACAAUAUGAAUUGUUCUAAAUGGAACAAAAUGAGAAUGUGUACUCUAUGUAUACUAGAUUUACAGACAGAGUGAACACUCUAGGAGCCCUAGGAAAGACCUUUUCAAAUAGCGAGAAAGUUAAGAAAAUUAUUAGGUCGCUACCUAAGGAAUGGAGACAAAAAAGAACUGCCAUUGAGGAAGCCAAAGAUUUAAAUGUAUUACCUAUUGAUGAUUUAAUUGGUUCUCUCAUUUCAUAUGAAGAAGAUUUGGCAGCUGAAAAAGGGCAUGACGAAAAGAAGAAAAACAUUGCUCUUAAGGCUUUAAAACAUGAGAGUGAUGAGGAAAGCGAAAUGGAUGAUGAGGAGUUGGCAAUGUUGGCUAGAAGAUUCAGAAAAUUUUACAAGAAGAAUAAUGAGCAGAGAAAGUUCAGAGGCUACAAGAAUAAGAAGGAGAAGAAAGAGCCAAUCACUUGCUAUGAAUGUAAAAAGCCCGGACACAUACGACCGGAAUGUCCUCUCCUCAACAAACUCAAGAAGAAAGCUAUGGUGGCGACAUGGGAUGAUAGUGAUAAGGAAACAAGUGAUGAUGAAGAGUAACAAAAAAUGACAAAUUUAGCUCUCAUGGCCUUUGGGGAAGAAUCAUGUGAUGAAUGACACAACUUAAAAGUAAUUUUUAACUCCCAAGUAUAAGAGUGUCUUGUUGUAUUAUAACUCGGUGAGUCCGAGGUCGAUCCACAGAGAAAAGAUUUAAUUAGUUUAUUUUAUUUUAACUAAAAAUUGAAAUUAAAACUUAAAUAUAAACAACUUAAUUUAAAUGAAACUAUGAAAUUGAACUAGUUAGGGUUAUGGAUCCACUCUUAGAAGUAAAUAAAACUUAAUAAAUUCUUUUUGCUAAUUUUUUAGAUUUAUUACCCAAAAGAUUAAUUAUACAAAUUAUUAUUAUUUUCCCUUUAAUUUUAUGAUGGAUUAAGUAUUUAUUGUGCUAAAAUUUAAUUUGUCUACAAUAAGUCAAAAUACCAUUUCACCAUGCCUUAUAUUAAGAUCUUAAGAAUUUAUUGUGCCAAAUUCAUUUGUUUGUCUACAAUAAAUCAAAAUUUCAAAAUAUAAAACAUGUAUAAAAUUAAAUAGAAAAUAAUUUAAUUUAUAAAAUUAAAAAUAGAAUUUGAUUAAAUCAUAUUUAUUUCCUAAGAAUUUCACCUUCCCCUAACUAAUAUUAUUUAGUUAAGCAUAAUUAAAAUAAAAAGAAGUAGUAUAAUUGAAUUACUUAUAAUUAAAAGAAAUAAAACAACUAAAAUUAGAAAUAAAACUAAUUUUAUUAAUGAAAAUAAUUAUACAAAAUAUUAAAAACACACUUGGAAAUCAAGAUUACAAGGAGAUGGAGAGAAUUUGAGAAGAAGAGAGUUGUCGAGAGAUGAUUAAAACAUAAAAAUGAGGCUCUAUUUAUAGAAAAAUAAAUUCAUAAUCCAGUGCUUUGCGGUUCAUCAUAGGCUUCAUGCAUGUGCUCCUCACAACCCUUAGAUCAAGAUCCAAUGGCUGUCAAACUUCAAAAGUCAACAUCACACAUGGCAUCAUUUGACUCGUCCGAUUUGCCCAAAGAACGGUUGAGAUUUGGUGGGUUAAUGGGUGGAUCGGGGCGACCCAAAUACAAAGAUUCGGAUCCUCCAACUUGCUUCACCAACCAUUGCCAUGUGGCACAAUCAUGGCCAUUGAAUCAUGAACGGUUGAGAUUUGGUUAAGAUUGCCAGCUAUUCCAUGCACUCAUAUCUAUUGUAAGCUCAUUUCAUCAUCCAAUCAGUGCUCGGUCAACAGGAAAAGUCAAUUUUUUUUACACAAGCCCAAUUUUAAGCCGAUCUUGACUGAUCUUAAGGUUUUCGGACCUCCGGAAUCCAAAUUUGACCUCCGUUUAUCUGUUUGGAGCCUCGAAGUACGUGAAAUUAAUAUUUUUCCUAAUAAACACAUAAAAAUACACAAAAUUAAAUAUAAUUAAAACAUAAUUCAUAAUUCAUAAUAUAUUACAUAAACACAAAUAUAAAUUAUAACAUAACCAUAAAAUAACAUAUUAUCGCUUGAUAAUUAAACAAUUUUUAAUACUAAUCACACCCCCCAACCAGCUUAUUGCUAGCCCUCUAGCAAUUAAAACGUUAUAUUAAAUUAAGAUUUAUAAAAUUCACAUGCAAGUUAAUAGCUGUUCAUCUAUCCUCUAAAUUACCAAAUAAAUGAACUCUCCCAAAUUCUUUUACCACAUUGAUGUUCACUCAUUAUCCAAAAUAUCAUCAAACAUUCUUUUGUGCUCAAGUAAUUAACACAAUACUUAUGGGGCUUCAUUAAAAGAAAAACAACAUUUUCGUUCCAAAAUUCAUUAGAAAUUAUAUCUUUAGGCAAUAGAUUAUUCACACAUUUUUUUUUAAAUAUUACAUUUCUAACCCAUGUAGCGAGCUUUAGGUCAGUGACUCCCAAACCAGUUGGUCUUAGGGCACUAGGUGUUGAAACACCUUUACGGACUUAAUUACUCGGGUUUCUAAUAAACAAACAAUAUAUCUAUUACCCAUGUAGCGAGCGUUAGGCUAGUGACUCUCAGACCAGUUGACCUUAGGGCACUAGGUGUUGAAACACCCCUACGGACUUAAUUACUCGGGUUUCUAUAUAUAAAAACAUUUUUUCUUCUUUUUUUUGAUUUUUUUUUUGUUUUUUAGAAAUAUACACUUUCUACUACCUUAGAUACUAUUAAUAAUUAAUCAAAAGAACUAAAUGCUGUAAAACUUUAACUUACAACCCACUAGUAUGUGUCAUAGUGUGUGUGUGAAGAAUGAUUCAAUAAUACCUGUUAAAUGAGUAAACAAUUAAAUAACUUAAUAACCAAGUGGAGAGUUCACAAAUUUGAGUAAUUCAAAGAAAAUGGAACAAAAACAACUUACUAUGAAUCUCAAAAUCAAAAUAUAAUACAACAAGACUAUUAGGAUGCGUGUCAAAAGUCGUGACUCUUUACACGGCCAUCCUAAACAAAAAAAUAAUUUUUUUUGCUUUUUUGUUUUUUUUUUGUUAACAAAGAAAAGAAAAGAGAAAAGAGAAAAACAACACACAUAUUUAAAACAUACGUAAAUUAUCCCCACCCCACAAUGUAAUCUAAACAUUAUCUUAACAUUUUAUAAUUUUACAUAUAUGCAAAAAGAAAAAAAUAAAUAAAAAUAAAAGAGAAUAAUAAAAUAAGAAGAAGAGGAGAUCUCACCUGAACUUGAUGCAGAAGCUUAAAAGCAAAUAACAAAGAUGAAGAAAAAGUCUUUUUUUUAACAACACCCUUAAGAUUAAAAAGAUGCGUUUCUAGAGAGACUACAUUCUCUACAUCCUGCCAUCUUCGACUCAAAUUUGUCCUAAGUUAGUCUUUACAGAAAAAAAAAAAAAAUUUGUUUUUUUUUUGUUUUUGUUUUUGUUUUUUUUUUUGUAAACACAUAACUAAGACUAAGACAUUCCACAAUUAUCAACUAUUCCCUCCCCCCAACCUGAAAAAGACAUUGUCCUCAAUGUUUUAAAAGGAAAGAGAAAGAGUGUAGAAGACAUCACAUGAACACUACAACAGAAAAUAUUUACAAACGGAGAGUUAAAUCUAAAUCGCACUUCUUAUUACUGCUACUGUUACCGUUACCAUCAUUAGUCGACCAAUUCAGUGCAACAGUCUGUGGAUCUGGCUUUAGUGAUAAGCUUGUAAAAGAUCAAGUAACUCAUUAGCAGUAGAAGCAGAGAUAAAUAGUUUUUUUACAGAAUGUGGAACAAAAUGAUUCUUUAUUGCAUGGUUAAUAAAAGUUAGCAAGCCGUCAUAAAAAUUAUUAACAUUUAACAAACCGAUGGGUUUUUUUAUGAAUGUUCAAGUGGGCCCAAAAUGCAAAUGUAAUUAGUGCCUCAAAAGUUGCAAGAUCUCCUGGCAAGAAAAUAAAAGCAUCAGCAUGAUUCAUCAUUUCAGAUAUUCUCUCUUGCAUACUUGAUACCACUAAUUCUUCUCCAAUUGGUGGGCCAGACAUGCACACUAGCGGUUUCAUGGGUUUUGGGAUAAUGCCGAGUACUUGGCUUCCUCUGGUAAAAACGGCUUCUGAGACAAGUCUUGAUAACCCUCGUUCACCUCCUCCAUAUACAAGAUGCAGUUUCCUCUCUGCUAUGACACGACCAAGAUCUACAGCUGCCUAAACGAACUCUUUGUACUUUCCAUAGUGAAACCCAGAAAGCACACAAAUAUUUUUGAAUUGUUUACUCGAAGAUGCUGCCAUUGGACUAAUUUUUCAAAAACAAGUUGUGAGUGUUUGAAAAAUGAGCUCAUAUUUAAAGAUCUUGGUGACAUAAAUAAUGAGAAACAACUGUAAAUGGGUUGGCAUAUUUGUCAAAUGACGAGGAAAGCUCGUGGCUCAAUAAUUCAAAAACAAAUAGUAAAAAAAAAGUAAUGAUUAGAAAAAGCAAACAGUAAAAGAAACCAAAUAUUUAUUAAAUACAAAAUCACAUCGCUAAAUGUAAUAAUGCAAAUGAUAAAAUAACAGUAAAGUAAAAUAACAGUGAAGUGAAAGGAUAUUUACUGGUAAUUGUGAUUGUGGCUCACAUAUUCCUCUGUUUUUACGUCCAGUAACGGCUUGAACUCCCUUUAUGGGUCGAGGAUCGGCUUCCCAUCCAGUUUUCUUAUAAACUGACAAACAAGGUCUUUUUGAGUCAGAUUCCCAAGACUAAACUGUGCACUUUGUUUUUGGAAUAGUAUCCACAAAUUGUAAAUCUCACGUUGCACAAAUAAGCUUCGAUGCAUCUCAAGAGAUCGUAAGAUAUCAUCCAACGAUUCUUUACUCAUGCCAUCUUUAACGAAUUUAAUUUUAUCUUCACGAGUAUCAGAAACCAUUCCUAAAGAUUUACAAUCCGGUCGUUUGCAACCAAGUCUUACACAGUUAUGACAUUUUGAGCCAAGUUGUUUAGCUCUCCUUUUCUUAGCAAAUGUACUUUUACCAAAACCAGGCAUGUAAGAAACAAAUUGACCAGAAAACUCACCUGCUAAUCGGACCUUUGCUUCAAUUAACCAACAAAUGUCAGAAGGAAUGCCAUUGAUCAUUAACAAACGCAGUCGUUCGCAACGAGCUUUGUAAAUUUUCCUGAGGGCAUUCUGAGGGAGAGAGGGAAAAUGCUUAUGGAGUUUAUGUUGUAUUUCUUCCAUGUUUGAUUUUGGGGUUUCAGUUAUUGUGGGAAACUGAAGAUACCGACUUAAGAAGUCACGGAGUACCGUUAUCCGCCAUUUAUACGGGAAAAUAAAUCAAAACACACCAAAAUCAAAUCUGCAAAAUCAAAUCAAGCGUGAAAGCGAGCAAAAAGAAGCACACAAUAUAAAAGGAAAAUGAACUUACAUUCGUCCUCUCAUUGAGUUAACCUCAAGCUCCAUUUGAAAUUCAUAUAUGCCACUCUCUACUGUUCUGAGUUGUCCCUCUAGAUCCUCAACAUAGGACACGAAUUCUGGUGGUUGUAGAUCCCAAAGUGGAUGUGAUUUACAGCUUUGUAUUAGGCCUCUUAAGUAAAUUUUAUACGCAGAAAUCUUUUAAGAUGUGCGAACAAGAAUUUUCUCAUUGAGGUGCUCAUGAUGUAAAAUGAAAAUUGAUGAGAGAAUGUACAACUGUCAAACAAACACGCUUACACAAGAAAAACAAUGUUAAAAAAAACUAUGUACAGUGCAUCAAUCUAGAGAAAAAAAAAUCAAACAAUGAAACAGUAAAAUAAUAGUAAAACAAAACAAAAAAAAUAAAAUAAAUCAUUAAAGACUUAAUCAAGAACUGGUGGGUCANNNNNNNNNNNNNNNNNNNNNNNNNNNNNNNNNNNNNNNNNNNNNNNNNNNNNNNNNNNNNNNNNNNNNNNNNNNNNNNNNNNNNNNNNNNNNNNNNNNNNNNNNNNNNNNNNNNNNNNNNNNNNNNNNNNNNNNNNNNNNNNNNNNNNNNNNCCAUUUUGACUUUAACUUUCCUGGAAAUAAAUGAAGACGAGAAUUAUAAAGCAACACUUUUUGACCAAUCUCAAAUGUUUUUCGAAAAAUUCUUUUAUCAUGAAAUGCUUUUGUUCUUGCCUUAAUAAUUCUUGAAUUUUCAUAUGCAUCAUUCCUUAAUUCCUCAAGUUCAUUCAAUUGCAAUUUUCGCACAUUACCAGCAUCAUCCAAAUUUGAAUUAAAAGCUUUAAUAGCCCAAAGUGGUUUAUGUUCAAGUUCAACAGGUAAAUGACAAGGUUUACCAUAAAUUAACCGAUAGGGUGACAUUCCUAAUGAUGUUUUAAAUGCAGUGCGGUAAGCCCAAAGUGCAUCAUUAAGUCUAAGAGACCAAUCUUUUCGGUUUGGGUUAACCGUUUUUUCCAAAAUUUGUUUUAUCUCCCUAUUUGCUAAUUCAACUUGACCAUUUGUUUGAGGAUAAUAAGGGGUAGCAAUUUUAUGUGUAAUUCCAUAUUUCUUCAUUAAAGACUCAAAUGACUUAUUACAAAAAUACUUACCUCCAUCACUGAUAAUGGCUCGAGGGAUUCCAAAUCGACUUAAAAUGUCUUCUCUUAAAAAUUUAAUCACAGUUUUACUAUCAUUAUUUCGACAAGAAAUUGCUUCAAUCCAUUUUGAGACAUAAUCAACUGCAACUAAUAUAUACACAAAUCCAAAAGAUGAUGGAAAUGGACCCAUGAAAUCAAUUCCCCAACGGUCAAAUAUUUCAAUUUCAAGUAUGGGAUUUAAGGGCAUCAUGUUUCUUUUUGUAAUUGAUCCCAAUUUUUGACAUUUUUGACAACUUUUGCAGAAUUCAUAUGUGUCUUUAAACAUGGUAGGCCAAUAAAAUCCACACUGUAAAAUUUUAGCAGUAGUUUUUCUUGAAGAAAAGUGACCACCACAUGCUUUAGAAUGACAAAAAUUAAUGACACUACUUACCUCAUUAUCAGGAAUACAUCGCCGAAAAAUUUGAUCUGGGCAAUAUUUGAACAAAUAAGGAUCAUCCCAAUAAAAUUUCUUUAUUUCAACAAAAAAUUUCUUCUUCUCUUGAGCAUUCCAUUGCAAAGGCAUUUUACCUGUAACAAGAAAAUUAACAAUAUUAGCAUACCAUGGCAUUGAAGUAAUAGAAAAUAAAAAUUCAUCAGGGAAAGAAUCAUUUAUAGGUGUUAUAUCAUUGCAGAAUUCGGAUGUGAGUCUUGAUAGAUGAUCAGCAACAACAUUUUCAGCACCCUUUUUAUCUUUGAUGGUAAGGUCAAAUUCUUGUAGUAACAAAAUCCAACAAAUUAGUCUCGGUUUGGUAUUCUGUUUACUCAUCAAAUAUCUCACAGCAGCAUGGUCAGUAAACACAACAGAUUUAGAGCCAAGCAAAUACGAACGGAAUUUGUUUAAUGCAAAUACCACAGCAAGUAAUUCUUUUUCAGUUGUAGAAUAAUUCAUUUGAGCACUAUCCAAAAUCUUACUCACAUAAUAAAUCACAAUAGGCUUACCAUCCCUUCUUUGUCCGAAAACAGCACCAACAGCAAAAUCACUUGCAUCACACAUUAAUUCAAAUGGCAAAGACCAAUCAGGAGAUUGCAUAAUAGGUGAAGAUGUUAAAAGACAAAUUAUUUUUUCAAAAGAUUUUUGGCAAUCAUCAUUCCAUUCAAACGGUGCAUCUUUUAAUAAGAGGUUACAGAGUGGUUUAGAUAUGACACUAAAGUUUUUUAUAAACCUCCUAUAAAAUCCUACAUGUCCUAAAAAGGAUCGCACAUCUCUAACUAUUUUUGGUUGUGGCAAUUUAGAUAUGACUUCGAUUUUUGCUUUGUCAACUUCAAUUCCUUUAAUAGAAACAACAUGACCCAAAACAAUUCCAGAAGUAACCAUGUAGUGACAUUUUUCCCAAUUUAACACGAGUUCUUUUUCAACACAUCUUUUUAAAACUUUCUCCAAAUUAUCAGGGCAAUCAUCAAAAGAAUUCCCAAACACAGUCAAAUCAUCCAUAAAGACCUCUAAACAAUGUUCAACCAUAUCACAAAAAAUGCUUAACAUACAUCUUUGAAAUGUUGCAGGAGCAUUACAAAGCCCGAAUGACAUUCUUUUAAAUGCAAGUGUUCCAAAAGGACAUGUGAAUGUGGUCUUUUCUUAGUCCUCAAGUGCUAUAGGAAUUUGAUAAUAACCUGAAUAUCCAUCUAAAAAACAGUAGUAGGGAUGUCCUGCUACUCUUUCUAAGAUUUGGUCAAGGAAUGGUAAUGGAAAAUGAUCUUUUCUAGUGGCUUCAUUUAAUUUUCUAUAAUCAAUGCACAUGCGCCAACUAGAUAUAAUUCGUGUUGGAAUUAAUUCACCUUUUUCAUUUUUAACAACAGUGAUUCUAGAUGUUUUAGGCACUACUUGUGUAGGACUUACCCACUUACUAUCAGAAAUAAGGUAGAUAAUUCCCACAUCAAGUAAUUUAAGGACUUCUGUUUUGACUACCUCUUUCAUGUGUGGGUUUAAUCUUCUUUGAGGUUGUUGACAUGUUUUAGCAUUUUCUUCCAAAUUAAUUCUAUGCGUGCAGAUUAAGGGAUUAAUGCCUUUAAUAUCAUUUAAAGUUCAUCCUAUUGCAUUUUUAUGCUUUUUAAGAACAGUAAGUAACUUACCUUCUUGGUCGCUUGUUAAAGUAGAAGAAAUCACAACAGGAUAAGUUUGUUCUUCUCCAAGAAAAACAUACUUCAAUCGUUCAGGCAAAGGUUUCAAUUCCAUUUUAGGUGCUUUUUGUUGUUCUGUCUUUUCAAUACUUCCAAGCUCCUCAAAUUUUGGCUCGUCAUCAUAAUUUUGCGAAGUCUGCAUAGAAUCAAGCAAUGAAUUUAUAUUAGAAAUAUCAAGUUCAAGUUGCUUAUUUGACUCAAUUGAAUUAACUAAACAAACAUUAGAAAGUUCAGAAAAAUCCCCUUAUUGAAUAUUUUCCUCAAUACAAGAUUCAAACAAUUCCUUUUGUUCAUCAGUAUCAUCUUCAAUCUCAUUUUCUUCAUUAGGUUGCCUGCACAUGUUGAAAACAUUCAAUUCCAAAGUCAUAUUUUCAAAGGAUAAAUUCAUUAAACCAUUCCUACAAUUAAUCAAAGCAUUAGCAGUUGCUAAAAAAUGAUCGACCUAAAAUUACAGGAAUUGGUUUGUAAUUAUUCACAACAGGUUCAGUUUCCAAGACAAUAAAAUCCAUAGGAUAAAUAAAUUUAUCAACUUGUACUAAAACAUCUUCCACUAUUCCUUUUGGUACUUUAACUGAUCUAUCGGCAAGCAAAAGUGUAGUUGAAGUUGAUUUUAACUCACCAAGAUUAAGUUGAAGAUAAACUGAAUAUGGAAGCAAAUUAACACUAGCACCAAGAUCUAGUAAAGCAUGCUCAAUUCUGUGGUUACCAAUAAUACAAGAAAUGGUAGGACAACCAGGAUCUUUAUAUUUCAACUUAUUAUUAGUAGACAGAAUUGUACUUACCUAUUCGGCCAUGAAAGCACUCUUUCUUACCUUCAAUUUCCUUUUAACAGUGCACAAGUCCUUUAAAAAUUUGGCAUAUGAAGGAACCUGUUUGAUUGCAUCUAAUAGAGGAAUGUUAACUUUCACUUGCUUAAAGAUUUCAUAAAUUUCAGAAGAGUGGUUUGAUUUCUUUGGUUUAUUCAAUGCAUGCGGAAAUGGUGGUUCAGGUGGAACACUAGUUAUUUCUUCACUAGGUGUAAGUUCAUUUAGUCCUUCCUUACCCUUUGAAUUUUCAUCAUUUUCAUAAGGUUCAGGCAUAGGUCUAUCAACAACCUUACCACUACGAAGAGUUAUAACUGACUUGACUUGGUCUGUGGGUGGAUUUUGUUGAAUUUUAGGAUUUGGUUGUGGUUGGGCUGGAAAUUUUUCUUUUUCUUGAAUGGUGAGUGCAGAAGCAAUUUUAGCAAGAGUAUCUUUCAAAUCAGAAAAAGUUUGUGCAUUUUGAUUGUUAAUAACGUCUUGCUUUCUGAUGAAUGAAUGCAUUGUGUCUUCUAGAUUUUUCCAGGGUGGUGGAACAUAUGGUGCAUAAGGCUGAGGAUUUUGAAAAUUUUGUGGAGGUGGUGCUUGUGAAGAUUGUGCAUUAUUAUUAUUCCUUCAACUGAAAUUUGGAUGAUUUCUCCAACCAGGAUUAUAAGUCUGUGAAUAUGGGUUUGGUUUAUUGAAAGUGUUAAUCACAUUAGCUUGAUCAUUUAGACAUUCUUUAAGUGCAGGCAAAGUGGGACACUCUUGAGUGAAAUGAUCAUUCGAAUUACAUAUGUUACAUGCAAUUUCUUGAACAGAUUUUACUUGAUCACUCUUUUUAUGCUCCAAAGCUUCAACUUUCCUAACUAGGGAUGCAAAUUGUGCUUGUAAAUCAUGAUCUUCCCUAAGAUUAUGGAUUCCUCCACUAGAUAGAGAUGAUUGUUGCUUAUUUGUCAAUUCAAAAGUUCCAACAGUAUCCCAAUGUUGUGCAUUUUCAGCUAAUUGGUCAAGGUAAUCUAGUGCAUCUUCAGGAUUUUUAUCCCUAAAUUCACCAUUAAACAUCAUUUCAACAACCUGUCUACUUUGGGGUAUUAAGCCCUCGUAGAAGUAAGUGACCAAUCGCCAAGUUUCAAAACCAUGAUGUGGGCAUAUGUUAAGCAACUCUUUAAACCUAUCCCAACAUUGGUAUAAUGUUUCUCCAUUUUUUUGAGUGAAAGAAGUGAUUUGCCUUUAAAAAGAAUUUGUUCUAUGAGGUGGAAAGAAUUUUUUCAAAAACUGUUCUUGCAUGUUAUUCCAAGUUCUUACUGAUCCAGAUCUAAGGUUUUGUAGCUUUAUCUUUUAAUGAAAAAGGAAAAAGCUUUAAUCUAAUUAUGUUCAUGCUACAAUUUUGGUCCGUGUAUGUAUUACAAACUUCCUCAAAAUCUCUUAGAUGCAAGUAUGGAUUCUCAGAUUCUAAACCAUGAAAUGUUGGUAAAAGCUGGAUAAUACCUGGUUUAAAGUUGAAUCGAGAUGCUUCUGGAGGAAAUACUAUACACGACGGUGCUCCGGUUCUGGUUGGAUUCAUGUAGUCUCUCAGAGUUCUUGGUUGAUUCUGAUCAUGUCCAUGUUGAGAUUGGUUGUCUCCUUGAUCAAUUUGAGGGUUAAGUUCGCCCAAAACAUUUUCGCCUUGAUUCUCAUCCAUGAUUGGUGGUGGAGAUUGAGAUCUAUGAAUUAACCUGCCACUUGAAGAUCGAGACCAACGUCUCAUGCAAUGGUUAUGUUAUAAAGAUAAUAUUUACACAAAUUGAUAACAAAAUAAAAUAAAAAAAUAAAUAAGCAAAUAAUAUAAGUGUGCAAAAGAAAAUUAAAUAACAAUUUUGGUGGUUGAACCCACCAAUAAAGUAAAAAAAAUAAAUGCAAAAUUAAAAAAAAAAAUGGUGGUUGAACCCACCAAUUAACAAUAAAUUAAGUAAAAAAAUAAAUGCAAAAGAAAAAAAAGAAAAAAAAUGGUGGUUGAACCCACCAAUAAAAAAAAUAAAAAAUUAAAUAAAUUCUGAAAAUUAAAUAACUGAAAAUAAAAGUUAAGAGUUAGUAGUUAGUUUGGUGGUUAAACCCACCAAUAAAGCAAAAAUAAAUAAAUACGAAAUUAAAUAAAUGCAGAAAAUUAAAUAACUGAAAUUAAAUAAAAGUUAGGAGUUAGCAGUUAGUAAGUUAAGAGUUAGUAAUUAGAGUUAGUAGUUAAAGUUAGUUAUGUCCAAAAUAAGUCCAAAAUAUGUCCAAAGUAUGUCCAAAAUAUGUCCAAAGUAUGUCCAAGUCUUGAUUAUUUUGAGGAAUUUCAUCUAGGGAUUUUAUUACAAAUUAUUUUUCAUUUUAUGGCCAAACUGUAAUUUUUAGAAGUUUAGAAUUGAGCCUUUUGGGAUGAAAGUGAAGCAGUCGAAAGAUGUCGGGGUCCGAACGUAAUUACCAGAAGAUUGGGCUAGAACCGAAAAUUGUUGGGGUGAAACAAGAAUUAUGAAAGAUAUGGGGACAAAAGAGGAUUUAAGAAAAGGAAAAGGGGGCAAACAAAAUUUUACAUAUAAGAGAAAAAUAAAAAACAGAAAAACAAACCAAAUAAAAAAAAAAUUUUCCCCGGCAACGGCGCCAAAAACUUAACACAACUUAAAAGUAAUUUUUAACUCCCAAGUAUAAGAGUGUCUUGUUAUAUUAUAACUCGGUGAGUCCGAGGUCGAUCCACAGAGAAAAGAUUUAAUUAGUUUAUUUUAUUUUAACUAAAAAUUGAAAUUAAAACUUAAAUAUAAACAACUUAAUUUAAAUGAAACUAUGAAAUUGAACUAGUUAGGGUUAUGGAUCCACUCUUAGAAGUAAAUAAAACUUAAUAAAUUCUUUUUGCUAAUUUUUUAGAUUUAUUACCCAAAAGAUUAAUUAUACAAAUUAUUAUUAUUUUCCCUUUAAUUUUAUGAUGGAUUAAGUAUUUAUUGUGCUAAAAUUUAAUUUGUCUACAAUAAGUCAAAAUACCAUUUCACCAUGCCUUAUAUUAAGAUCUUAAGAAUUUAUUGUGCCAAAUUCAUUUGUUUGUCUACAAUAAAUCAAAAUUUCAAAAUAUAAAACAUGUAUAAAAUUAAAUAGAAAAUAAUUUAAUUUAUAAAAUUAAAAAGAGAAUUUGAUUAAAUUAUAUUUAUUUCCUAAGAAUUUCACCUUCCCCUAACUAAUAUUAUUUAGUUAAGCAUAAUUAAAAUAAAAAGAAGUUGUAUAAUUGAAUUACUUAUAAUUAAAAGAAAUAAAACAACUAAAAUUAGAAAUAAAACUAAUUUUAUUAAUGAAAAUAAUUAUACAAAAUAUUAAAAACACACUUGGAAAUCAAGAUUAGAAGGAGAUGGAGAGAAUUUGAGAAGAAGAGAGUUGUAGAGAGAUGAUUAAAACAUAAAAAUGAGGCUCUAUUUAUAGAAAAAUAAAUUCAUAAUCCAGUGCUUUGCGGUUCAUCAUAGGCUUCAUGCAUGUGCUCCUCACAACCCUUAGAUCAAGAUCCAAUGGCUGUCAAACUUCAAAAGUCAACAUCACACAUGGCAUCAUUUGACUCGUCCGAUUUGCCCAAAGAACGGUUGAGAUUUGGUGGGUUAAUGGGUGGAUCGGGUCGACCCAAAUACAAAGAUUCGGAUCCUCCAACUUGCUUCACCAACCAUUGCCACAUGGCACAAUCAUGGCCAUUGAAUCAUGAACGGUUGAGAUUUGGUCAAGAUUGCCAGCUAUCCCAUGCACUCAUAUCUAUUAUAAGCUCAUUUCAUCAUCCAAUCAGUGCUCGGUCAACAGGAAAAGUCAAUUUUUUUUACGCAAGCCCAAUUUUAAGCCGAUCUUGACUGAUCUUAAGGUUUUCGGACGUCCGGAAUCCAAAUUUGACCUCCGUUUAUCUGUUUGGAGCCUCGAAGUACGUGAAAUUAAUAUUUUUCCUAAUAAACACAUAAAAAUACACAAAAUUAAAUAUAAUUAAAACAUAAUUCAUAAUUCAUAAUAUAUUACAUAAACACAAAUAUAAAUUAUAACAUAACCAUAAAAUAACAUAUUAUCGCUUGAUAAUUAAAAUUUUUUUAAUACUAAUCAAUGAACUUGAUGAGGUAAGUAUUCUUCCUACAUAUGAUGAAUUACAUGAUGCCUUUAAGGAUUUGCAUGAUGAGUUGAUGAAGAUUGGUAAAAAGAAUAUAUGUCUUAAAAAGAAGAUGAUAGAGCUUAAAAAUGAAAAUGAAUCAUUUAGUGG
Molecule: long non-coding RNA, 14844 nt
Filed under: Citrus x clementina
Lineage: Eukaryota; Viridiplantae; Streptophyta; Magnoliopsida; Sapindales; Rutaceae
Description: Citrus clementina (C. clementina) long non-coding RNA (CCLE_LNC000454)
Rfam family: Plant small nucleolar RNA R71 (bases 11749-11848)
Source: RNAcentral